This 468-nucleotide ribosomal RNA is filed under the name uncultured bacterium. RNAcentral describes it as "partial 16S ribosomal RNA". It matches the Rfam family "Bacterial small subunit ribosomal RNA", at positions 28 to 507 of the family's 1533-position model. The record is from RNAcentral.
GACGAACGCUGGCGGCGUGCUUAACACAUGCAAGUCGAACGGAAAGGCCCUGCUUUUGUGGGGUGCUCGAGGGGCGAACGGGUGAGUAACACGUGAGUAACCUGCCCUUGACUUUGGGAUAACUUCAGGAAACUGGGGCUAAUACCGGAUAGGAGCUCCUGCUGCAUGGAGGGGGUUGGAAAGUUUCUGCGGUUGGGGAUGGACGCGCGGCUUAUCAGCUUGUUGGUGGGGUAGUGGCUUACCAAGGCUUUGGCGGGUAGCCGGCCGGAGAGGGUGACCGGCCACAUUGGUCCUGCGAUACGGCCCAGACUCCUACGGUAGGCAGCAGGGGGGAAUAUUGCACAAUGGGCGCACGCCUGAUGCAGCAACGCCGCGUUCGGGAUGACGGCCUUCGGGUUGUAAACCGCUUUCGCCUGUGACGAAGCGUUAGUGACGGUAAUGGGUAAAGAAGCACCGGCUAACUACGUG